RNAcentral lists this ribosomal RNA (429 nucleotides) under Gemmatimonadota bacterium. RNAcentral's name for it is "Gemmatimonadetes bacterium partial 16S ribosomal RNA". It matches the Rfam family "Bacterial small subunit ribosomal RNA", at positions 355 to 776 of the family's 1533-position model. Lineage: Bacteria; Pseudomonadati; Gemmatimonadota. The record is from RNAcentral.
UAGGGAAUCUUCGGCAAUGGACGAAAGUCUGACCGAGCAACGCCGCGUGAGUGAAGAAGGUUUUCGGAUCGUAAAACUCUGUUGCUAGAGAAGAACAAGGACGUUAGUAACUGAACGUCCCCUGACGGUAUCUAACCAGACAGCCACGGCUAACUACGUGCCAGCAGCCGCGGUAAUACGUAGGUGGCAAGCGUUGUCCGGCUUUAUUGGGCGUAAAGCGAGCGCAGGCGGUUUCUUAAGUCUGAUGUGAAAGCCCCCGGCUCAACCGGGGGGGGUCAUUGGAGACUGGGAGACUUGAGUGCAGAAGAGGGGAGGGGAAUUCCAUGUGUAGCGGUGAAAUGAGUAGAUAUAUGGGGAAACACCAGUGGCGAAGGCGGCUCUCUGGACUGUAACUGACGAUGAGGCUCGAAAGCGUGGGGAGCAAACAGG